This 396-nucleotide long non-coding RNA is filed under the name Chinchilla lanigera (long-tailed chinchilla). RNAcentral's name for it is "lncRNA (ENSCLAG00000028833.1)". Lineage: Eukaryota; Metazoa; Chordata; Mammalia; Rodentia; Chinchillidae. The record is from RNAcentral.
CAGGAAGUGACACUUAAAAUAGCAAAACUUGUGAGCUUUCUGGCUACAGUGACAUUUUCAAUACUGCAUGGGAUGGAUUCAUUUGAAGUUGCAGGGACAAUGGGUAUAUACCCUGCAGAUAUCAUAUCUUUCGUUCUCACACUGUUUCAGCUCAUCUACUUCCUGCUUUGCUGUUGUGCAGGGAUCAUAAUCACCAGCUGCGUGUUCAACUGAUGAUGAAAUAAGGUUGAACUCUUCACACCUGCCGAAGACCAAGAAUGAUAUGUGGGGGUGUGUCGCUCCCUAAAGUGGAUUGAGAGAAGGCCUUCAUGUGCUUUUCUUGGUCUGUUUUGCAUUGCAUCCUCCAGGAUAGCCUUAUCUACAUAAUAAAGAGGAGUCACAGUCUUCUCAGGCAAG